Microplitis demolitor is the source of this 2022-nucleotide long non-coding RNA. RefSeq lists it as uncharacterized. Lineage: Eukaryota; Metazoa; Arthropoda; Insecta; Hymenoptera; Braconidae. The transcript is spliced from 3 exons. The record is from RefSeq and is a predicted model, not a curated record.
CCUUACUGAACUCCGGACACUCGACGGUGUUCGUGGCUAGAGGAUUGAUAUUUCGAUUGAGCAUUCGGUUAACGGUAGCUGGGCGUACAAACCGGACCUUGAUCGUCGUAAGCACUCGAAUAAUCGGUAUAUCAUUUUUUACUAGUCUCAGGAGAUUAAUUGACGUGAUAUUAAUUUCACCAUUCGGUCAACGAUAGCUGGGCAUACGAACCGGACCUUGAUCGUUGUAAGUCGUGAACUAAUAUCGAUCGGAAGCACCGGUAGCGUUGAUUAUCUUCACCUUAUUUUAAUCCAUUUAGUUCCAUUUUUAUUUUUAUAUUGACAUAUACUACGAGAAAAGUGAAAAAUCAAAGAAUAUUUUACCGCGAUAAAUGCGAAGAUUUUGAAUAAUAUUUUGCCGCGAAAAAGCGAAGAAUUUCAAUAAUAUUUUGAAAUACUUUUACCGCGAAAAUACCCGAAGAUUUUAUAAAUUUAUAUUUUAUAUUACCGCGAAGACGCGAAGAAUUUGAAUACAUUGAAAUUAUUUUACCGCGAGAAGCACGAAGACCUUUAUUUUACUUUAACCUACGGAGGUUUAGAAAUGCAUAAACAUUGAAAUUGAUACAACAAAGUAUACUAAAUAAAUAAAUAAUUCGAUAAAUUAGAAUCACAUUAAUUAACCGUGAGAACGCGUUGUGAAUAAGUGUCCUGUAUUACUGCUGACAGUCCUGACACCUCACCAAAACCUGUUGAGGAUCAUGGCGCUCACAGACAACGCUGAAGAAAUUUUUCAGCAUAGGGGGGAGCUGUAUUUUCUUAAUUCCCGAAACCACAUUGUUCGCAAAUAUUGUCAGUAUCGCGAUGAUUAUCAGUGCCCAGCGCGUCUGUGGAUUUGGAAUGAUCAACGUAUAUCUCCGAUGGGAUGCCACGAGAAUCAUCUAUCAUCAGCGCAGAACAAUAGUGCACAAGACGUACGAGAGCGAGAACCUGUCAGGCCGGUGGAUCAGCCCAGAUACGCCCGCAAUGCUAACCAGCAUGUUACAGGAGGACAGCUUCGGGUGGUCAGAUCAGGAAAACCACCAGUUCCCAGAUAUUUAAUUGAAAUAUCGACGAUGCUUAAUAACUAUCGCCCAACCUCGUCCAUUUAUCAGGGCAGUGUUACCUCAAGUGACGACGCAUUAGCAUUCCUCUUUGGAAAUAAUGAAAUAUUUUCAUCAAUCGGCCGGUAAGAAGAAAUUUUCCUGUUAUAUCCGGCUUGCCGUAUAUUUAAAGGGGCCUCUUUGCCGCGCUCGCUGUAAAGUGCAGCGUUAACAAUUUUAGGGAUAGCAACUUCGGCCAACACCUCGUUGUAUGUCGUCAACGUUUCCUCCAAUCAGGGAAUUACACUUAACUGUAUUUUAGAUUCACCCAAUUAUAUAUUCUAAAUUAUUCCCUCCAGAACCGCGAACCGAGGUGAUCAAAACAACGAACACCUAAGUGCGGCAGCCUUCGACGCUUGAGAAAUUAAUGUAUCUUCCUUGCUGGCCCGCGUGAGUUCUAAACCGUGUUACGUUUAGACAACCCCUUUUUUUUAUUAUUUUCUAUUUUCUCUUAAACCGAUUAGUUUCAUUUUCAUUCACAAAAUCUAAACAGUCAAGUAUGCUAUAAAAUCCCACGGGAAGAUCGUCUCGAUAUUGCACUCGAGGAGGCGUGACAAGUUGCUUGUUACCGUAAAAUUUCUAUUCAAAAUUGUCUUUUUAUAAUUAUACUUUCCUAUUCCAAAAAUCACCUCAUGGGACGUGAUUUUUAAUAAUAAUUGUCAAGUGUGAAAAUAGCGAUUCUCGUCCGAGUGAAUCGCUGGAGUCGGAGAUUCAGACCGAACUCAUAUGAGUUAAAGACUCAUUAAAUCCAAAGUGUAAAACCAUAAGUUUGAGUUUAAUGGUUAAGUGUAAAUCCAAGAGAUUUAACUUGAAGAAAGAACCUUAGUGAUAAUAACAAUUUAACAUCUUGUGAACUGAGUACGGCUAGCCCAUAGGGGAAUAUUUCAAUAAAUAUCUAUCAUUG